UACAGAGGGGGCGAGCGUUAAUCGGAAUUACUGGGCGUAAAGCGCACGUAGGCGGCUUGGUAUGUCGGGUGUGAAAUCCCCGGGCUCAACCUGGGAACUGCAUCCGAAACUGCCUUGCUAGAGUAUGGGAGAGGGAAGUGGAAUUUCCGGUGUAGCGGUGAAAUGCGUAGAUAUCGGAAGGAACAUCAGUGGCGAAGGCGACUUCCUGGACCAUAACUGACGCUGAGGCGCGAAAGCGUGGGGAGCAAACAGG
Molecule: ribosomal RNA, 253 nt
Filed under: uncultured bacterium
Lineage: Bacteria
Description: partial 16S ribosomal RNA
Rfam family: Bacterial small subunit ribosomal RNA
Source: RNAcentral